CAGUAGCCGCGGUAAUACGAAGGGGGCUAGCGUUGCUCGGAAUUACUGGGCGUAAAGGGCGCGUAGGCGGACAGUUCAGUCGGGGGUGAAAGCCCGGGGCUCAACCUCGGAAUUGCCUUCGAUACUGGCUGUCUUGAGUAUGAGAGAGGUGUGUGGAACUCCGAGUGUAGAGGUGAAAUUCGUAGAUAUUCGGAAGAACACCAGUGGCGAAGGCGACACACUGGCUCAUUACUGACGCUGAGGCGCGAAAGCGUGGGGAGCAAACCGGAUUAGAUACCCCGGUAGUCCCUGUCUCUUAUAC
RNAcentral lists this ribosomal RNA (301 nucleotides) under uncultured bacterium. RNAcentral describes it as "partial 16S ribosomal RNA". It matches the Rfam family "Bacterial small subunit ribosomal RNA", at positions 509 to 807 of the family's 1533-position model. The record is from RNAcentral.